RNAcentral lists this ribosomal RNA (716 nucleotides) under Salmonella enterica. RNAcentral's name for it is "partial 23S ribosomal RNA". It matches the Rfam family "Bacterial large subunit ribosomal RNA", at positions 2087 to 2802 of the family's 2925-position model. The record is from RNAcentral. Lineage: Bacteria; Pseudomonadati; Pseudomonadota; Gammaproteobacteria; Enterobacterales; Enterobacteriaceae.
GACCCCGUGAACCUUUACUAUAGCUUGACACUGAACAUUGAGCCUUGAUGUGUAGGAUAGGUGGGAGGCUUUGAAGUGUGGACGCCAGUCUGCAUGGAGCCGACCUUGAAAUACCACCCUUUAAUGUUUGAUGUUCUAACGUGGAUCCGUGAUCCGGGUUGCGGACAGUGUCUGGUGGGUAGUUUGACUGGGGCGGUCUCCUCCUAAAGAGUAACGGAGGAGCACGAAGGUUGGCUAAUCCUGGUCGGACAUCAGGAGGUUAGUGCAAUGGCAUAAGCCAGCUUGACUGCGAGCGUGACGGCGCGAGCAGGUGCGAAAGCAGGUCAUAGUGAUCCGGUGGUUCUGAAUGGAAGGGCCAUCGCUCAACGGAUAAAAGGUACUCCGGGGAUAACAGGCUGAUACCGCCCAAGAGUUCAUAUCGACGGCGGUGUUUGGCACCUCGAUGUCGGCUCAUCACAUCCUGGGGCUGAAGUAGGUCCCAAGGGUAUGGCUGUUCGCCAUUUAAAGUGGUACGCGAGCUGGGUUUAGAACGUCGUGAGACAGUUCGGUCCCUAUCUGCCGUGGGCGCUGGAGAACUGAGGGGGGCUGCUCCUAGUACGAGAGGACCGGAGUGGACGCAUCACUGGUGUUCGGGUUGUCAUGCCAAUGGCACUGCCCGGUAGCUAAAUGCGGAAGAGAUAAGUGCUGAAAGCAUCUAAGCACGAAACUUGCCCCGA